UACGUAGGGUGCGAGCGUUGUUCGGAAUUACUGGGCGUAAAGAGUGUGUAGGCGGUGCUCCAAGUCUGUUGUGAAAUCUCCCGGCUUAACUGGGAGGGUGCAGCGGAAACUGGAAUGCUUGAGGGUGGGAGAGGAAAGCGGAAUUCCUGGUGUAGCGGUGAAAUGCGUAGAUAUCAGGAGGAACACCUGUGGUGUAGACAGCUUUCUGGACCACUUCUGACGCUGAGACACGAAAGCGUGGGUAGCAAACAGG
RNAcentral lists this ribosomal RNA (253 nucleotides) under uncultured bacterium. RNAcentral's name for it is "partial 16S ribosomal RNA". It matches the Rfam family "Bacterial small subunit ribosomal RNA", at positions 524 to 776 of the family's 1533-position model. The record is from RNAcentral.